This 834-nucleotide ribosomal RNA is filed under the name uncultured Arcicella sp. RNAcentral's name for it is "bacterial SSU rRNA". It matches the Rfam family "Bacterial small subunit ribosomal RNA", at positions 43 to 890 of the family's 1533-position model. Lineage: Bacteria; Pseudomonadati; Bacteroidota; Cytophagia; Cytophagales; Flectobacillaceae. The record is from RNAcentral.
CAGGCCUAAUACAUGCAAGUGGAGGGGGGUCUUCGGACAUAGUGGCGCACGGGUGCGUAACACGUAUGCAACCUACCUUACAUUGGGGGAUAGCCUUUCGAAAGGGAGAUUAAUACCGCAUAAGACAGUAGCUGGGCAUCCAGCAGCUGUUAAAGAUUUAUCGAUGUAAGAUGGGCAUGCGUCCAAUUAGUUAGUUGGCGAGGUAACGGGGCACCAAGACUUUGAUUGGUAGGGGAACUGAGAGGUCAAUCCCCCACACUGGCACUGAGAUACGGGCCAGACUCCUACGGGAGGCAGCAGUAGGGAAUAUUGGGCAAUGGACGCAAGUCUGACCCAGCCAUGCCGCGUGCAGGAUGAAGGCGUUAUGCGUUGUAAACUGCUUUUAUACAGGAAGAAACGACUCUUGCGAGAGGCAUUGACGGUACUGUAUGAAUAAGCACCGGCUAACUCCGUGCCAGCAGCCGCGGUAAUACGGAGGGUGCAAGCGUUGUCCGGAUUUAUUGGGUUUAAAGGGUGCGCAGGUGGUUUAUUAAGUCAGUGGUGAAAGACGGUCGCUCAACGAUUGCAGUGCCAUUGAAACUGGUAGACUUGAGUAAAGUAGAGGUGGGCGGAAUUGAUAGUGUAGCGGUGAAAUGCAUAGAUAUUAUCAAGAACUCCAAUUGCGUAGGCAGCUCACUUGGCUUUUACUGACACUCAUGCACGAAAGUGUGGGUAUCAAACAGGAUUAGAUACCCUGGUAGUCCACACUGUAAACGAUGAUAACUAGGUGUCGGCCGAAUCUGGUCGGUGCCACAGCGAAAGCGUUAAGUUAUCCACCUGGGGAGUACGCCGGCA